Molecule: non-coding RNA, 363 nt
Organism: Lonchura striata (white-rumped munia)
Lineage: Eukaryota; Metazoa; Chordata; Aves; Passeriformes; Estrildidae
Source: RefSeq, a predicted model, not a curated record
GCGCUGGAGGUCACGGCGGCGGCAGAGAGGCAAGGAGGGAACAGGGAGGUGGCGCCGGGAGCGCGCCGAGGGCAGCAGGAACGUCCCAGGCCACCCGGAUCCUCGCGGAGGCCGGGAAGGAGCCCCCCAGGGUGGCCCUUCCCAGCACCCACAGGCUGUGCGCCUCAGCCCAGGCUACCGCCCUCUCCGGCGGGUGUGAGGGGCCGGCGGAAAGCGACGGGGGUUUCCCACAGGAAGCCUCGGCGAGGCGAGCGGCGGCGGGGGAGAGGAGGGCGGAGGUGAAGGUUUUUGUCUACACCACUUCUGCAAUGAUAUAAGAGAGUGUUAAAAAAAAAAAGAUACCAGCCAAUCCGCAAAGAGUUC